This 419-nucleotide long non-coding RNA is filed under the name Dromaius novaehollandiae (emu). RNAcentral describes it as "lncRNA (ENSDNVG00000014667.1)". Lineage: Eukaryota; Metazoa; Chordata; Aves; Casuariiformes; Dromaiidae. The record is from RNAcentral.
CAAAGCGUUUUCUCCCCUUUCCUUGCCUCGUUUCUCCUUCCAGGUGUGUGUUUCCCUACUACUGUCCCCCAGGCAGUGCCCAUCCAUUGGUCUGUGAAGGAGGAUACAUGGCACUCAGUUUGCCUGGUCCAAGGGAUUCCUUUGAGAAAUUCUGCAGGAUCUGUGACGCAGGCACCUAUCGCAACGACUCUCUCGUCGCAGCACCGUGUCAGCCCUGCCCAGCAGGCUUCGUCUGCCCACAGGAUGUCACUGCAAGCAGUACGUCUCUGCUGAGGAGCUUUGUGACCAAGCAUGUUUGCUGAGAGCCCCGCAGAUCUCCUUGAGAUUUGGCAUCAAUAGAGAGCUGCUUCUGAGGGUGGAUGAAAGAGAGGAGAGGGUAAGUAAUGGAGUUGGGGACUGCUGUCUGAGUAUGAGUCUGG